This 363-nucleotide long non-coding RNA is filed under the name Ictidomys tridecemlineatus (thirteen-lined ground squirrel). RNAcentral describes it as "lncRNA (ENSSTOG00000033682.1)". Lineage: Eukaryota; Metazoa; Chordata; Mammalia; Rodentia; Sciuridae. The record is from RNAcentral.
AAGAAUAGAUUAAACUCUCUCUCUCUCUCUUUUUUUUUCUUCAGUACCUGGGAAUCAAACUCAGAGGUUCAUGCAUGCUAGACAAGCACUCUACCUCUAAACUAUAUCCCCAGUCCUGAAAUAGGUGGAUUUGAAGAAAGAAGUAGAGAAAGUGGGCAAGAAGUAAUGAAAAUUUAUUUCACACCAUGGACCUGCUUGGGAAAUAUUACCCUGAAGUUUCCAUACCUGGGGGGAGAUGAUCCAUUUGACAGCAGCCACUAUGGUAACUUACUAUUUGCUUAUCAGAACUAGUGCUGUUUGAGAUAACAUUGACAAAGGAAUAAAAACAUCUCUUGUUUAUUUACUUCCAUUAGUAGUGAAAAU